GACGAACGCUGGCGGCGUGCAUAACACAUGCAAGUCGAGCGGUAAGGCCCUUCGGGGUACACGAGCGGCGAACGGGUGAGUAACACGUGAGUAAUCUGCCCAUCACUUCGGGAUAACUCCGGGAAACCGGUGCUAAUACCGAAUAUGACCACUUCAGGCAUCUGAUGGUGGUGGAAAGUUCCGGCGGUGAUGGAUGAGCUCGCGGCCUAUCAGCUUGUUGGUGGGGUAGUGGCCUACCAAGGCUUCGACGGGUAGCCGGCCUGAGAGGGUGACCGGCCACACUGGGGCUGAGACACGGCCCAGACUCCUACGGGAGGCAGCAGUGGGGAAUAUUGGACAAUGGGCGAAAGCCUGAUCCAGCAACGCCGCGUGAGGGAUGACGGCCUUCGGGUUGUAAACCUCUUUCAGCAGGGACGAAGCGCAAGUGACGGUACCUGCAGAAGAAGCACCGGCCAACUACGUG
This 463-nucleotide ribosomal RNA is filed under the name uncultured bacterium. RNAcentral's name for it is "partial 16S ribosomal RNA". It matches the Rfam family "Bacterial small subunit ribosomal RNA", at positions 28 to 507 of the family's 1533-position model. The record is from RNAcentral.